AGAAAGACUUUGAACGGAAAGAGUAGCAGAUGCGUUGUGUCGAAAGAGAGAAACUGUCACCGGCUGAAAGCAGUUUCCGAUUACAGCUUUUGUGAAGUGCGUCCGGGAGUCGGUCCGGUGAGAAAGAAGGAUAACAUCAUAGCCGGAUCCGGGAUUACACACGUUACGUGUACUGAGAGAAGAAUGCGGGUAAUAGAACUGUAUUCUUUAAAAAGAGUGGAACCGCGGAUAUACUUCGUCUCUUGU
Non-coding RNA from Dorea sp. 42_8, 246 nucleotides. NCBI's taxonomy places the organism in Bacteria, Bacillati, Bacillota, Clostridia, Lachnospirales, Lachnospiraceae. The record is from Rfam.